Molecule: non-coding RNA, 1274 nt
Organism: Equus caballus (horse)
Lineage: Eukaryota; Metazoa; Chordata; Mammalia; Perissodactyla; Equidae
Source: RefSeq, a predicted model, not a curated record
GACUGGCACAGUUGUUGGCUUAGUGCCAGUCAUCCUCAAGCAAAAAGAGAAAGACUGGCGACAGACAGUUCAGGGCCAGUCUUCCUCACACACACGCGUCUUCUGAUGAACAUGAGCUCUUGAUUUUAAUUCAGUACAAUUUUCACUCUCUCCCUAAUCUGAGGUCAUGAAGAUAUUCUACUGUGUCGUUUCAAAAAGCUGUAUCGUUGCACACUCACUCAGAUGUGGGUGUAAUGCACCUGGAUUUAGCCUGUGAUCUGAGACGGCUUAGCUUUCCCAGACGGCCUUCACCUGCCCAGCAUCAUCCAUGAGCCUGCCUCUGCCGGGCCCUCUGCUCCGUGCCGGCGCCUCGGUCAGAAAUCAACUUGCAACAUGCACAGGGCUGCUUCCAGCCCAGGACAGUCUCUGUUGUCGGAGGUGUCUGUAGCUCCAGCACGUCUACCUGCACGGCAGCUCUGGUGGCACCCGGAGGACAGUACAGUAAGGAGAGGAUGAAGGCAGACCACCCAAGAGCGAACAAUUCAUGUACUAGAAAAACCUCAGUGAACCAGCUCCAAGUUGCUUUACGUUGGCCUGGCCGGCACAAGCACCUCUCUAAUGCACAGGACGGCCAGGGUCUGUCUGGGAGCCCCGGCCCCUCAGCCUAUGCCUGUCAGCAGAGGCUGCAGUGACUUCAGAGCUGCCCACACACCCCCUUCCUGAGACCGCUCGUCUGACUACAUCUUCAUCAAGGUUGCUGACCAUACUUCCGAGUACUCCAACGCCUUCUAACGCCGAAGUAUCACUCUAAAAGCUCCUGCAUGAGUCCUCAACUAGCCCCCCUUCCUUCCCUGGGACUCAAGGUGACACUCAGCCUGCUCUGGCCCUGUGGCAGGAAACAGUACAUGGGCCCCUGCUUUGGGCAUGGUUCUCUUUCUCUAGGCUCAAUCUACAUUAUUCAGAUUCUGGGCCUGGCUCAGUUUCCCUGAGGAGGCCAAAGUGCUGCCCAGGUCACCUGCAGGGUCUGACAUACUGGAGUCUAAGGGGGUGCUUUUUUCUGACAUGAAAUGGGAGGGAGUUUCCACACCAAUAACUAAUUCUCCAACACCCACUGGCCAUCCAACUGUCCAUGUCAGCUUCGAGGGCAGGUCCCACGAGACAAAGGGCUCAGUCCCACGAGGCUGCCCCUACGUUAGACACCAGCCACAAAUCUGUGGGACAUCUACACUACCCACACUUCUGCCUGGCCUGGCAGCCUACAGAUUCCGAGGUUCCUACAACGUCCCCCCCCCCCC